GGAGGUGUGCUCAGUGGUAUAGCACUUGCUUAGUAUACUUGAGAACUGGGUUCAAUCCUAGCACCACCA
This 69-nucleotide transfer RNA is filed under the name Marmota marmota marmota (Alpine marmot). It matches the Rfam family "tRNA". Rfam says of the family: Transfer RNA (tRNA) molecules are approximately 80 nucleotides in length. Their secondary structure includes four short double-helical elements and three loops (D, anti-codon, and T loops). Lineage: Eukaryota; Metazoa; Chordata; Mammalia; Rodentia; Sciuridae. RNAcentral also lists the same sequence under 2 other names. The record is from Rfam by way of RNAcentral.